This is a long non-coding RNA of Anas platyrhynchos (mallard), 2762 nucleotides long. RefSeq lists it as uncharacterized. NCBI's taxonomy places the organism in Eukaryota, Metazoa, Chordata, Aves, Anseriformes, Anatidae. The record is from RefSeq and is a predicted model, not a curated record.
ACUGAAUUCCCUAGCUUGUCUGUAGAAAUCUGGCUGUUCUCAGCAGGCUGGUUAGACUAAUGUACCUGCGUGGAUGUGAAGCUGCAGGUAAAACAUUAGCUUCAAUGAUCAUUGCAUAAAUCUGAAUAAAAGAGCACAUUUUCUGUCCUUGAAAUGACAUUAGCAGAAAAAGUAGACCUUUCUGUUGCUCUCAUCACGAAAUUACCUGCAGUCUUCAUAGACACCAAUGAGGUUAGCAUCAGACAGCACCUGGGAGACCAGAAAGAUAAGUGUCUUCAUUUUUCAGAUGACAAAAUGGAGUCCCAGCCUGCAGAAAUGGCUUCUUCCAGAUCAUAAAGGAUAAAAGAAGCUGAACAGAAAUCGAUCCCUAUGACAAUAUGAGUUGAAUUUCAUUAUUUAUUUUUUUCAAUUCAAUGCCUUCAACUUAACACUCUUUCUCAGAGGUAGAUGACACACAUAGCCAAUGUAAAUUGAUUUGACUCAACAUACAUAUUAGCUAUUAAUAACAUUUUAGAUCAAUAAAGAAAAAAAAUCUGUUGAUUGAAAAAGAAAAAAAAAAAGAAAAAGUAGUGAAAGUGAUACAAAAUUCAUUUUAACAUAUUUAAGAAUAUUUUUAUCUUGUUUAAUGUUCCAGCUAGAAGUUAAUAAAUGUCAUAUUGCUCAAAUAUGAUUUGAAUAGACUGUUAAUCUCUAUUUACCUGUUUUCAAACAUAUGUUAUCUUAUAUUUAUUGUGAUUCUGGCAUUUUGUUUCUCUAUAUUUACAGUAGAUUUAAAUCUUAAUUAUUCUUCUCUAUAGUAGACUUUGUUUGUUUGUUUGUUUUGUUAGUUUGUUUUUAUUUUUCUUCCUAUUUUUCCCCCCUACACAAGGAAAGAAAAAUAAUGGCCUAGAACAUGCAUGCAUAUGUUAGGUCGAAUCAAUAACUUUAGUCAAAUAAUUUCCUCUGGCCUUAAAAAGUGGUAUGGUUUCAGAUGUUGCCCAUGAAGGAUAAAAAAUUAAAAAUGAUCCAGAAAUAAUUAGUUGAGGAGAAAGACAAUGAAAUGACAACCUAGUGUUAACAAUUUUAUUUAUGGCACGUAAGUGUUAUACCAUCUCAUCCAGCAAAUGUAGUAAUCUAAGCAAAUUAUUCAUUAAGAAUGAAUCAGCACCAUUGUUGGGAAAGAAAAAAAAAAAAAAAAAAAAAAAGAUUUUAAUGACCAGUUGGUUUAAAGAAGGAUUCUGUGAAAGGAAUUGGUCAACUGCCAGAAGCUGUUUGCAAUGACAAAUUGCUCACAAUGAAUUGUUUAGAGAGAAAACACUACUUUUUGUUUAUGAAACAAAUCUGCAUGCCAGUCAGUUGUCUUUGAGUAUGAAGGAUGUUCGCUGUAAGGUCAUGAAUACAACAAUGGUUUGCCUUCCUUAGUACAUGCCGUUCAUUUCUCUUGAAGCCGUAACUGCCAAAUAGCAGUAAAAAGCAGUUAGCAACUCCAGAAUUGGUCGAGUUAUUGUCACAGAGAAAGGCUGUCUGGCAGGCUUUUCAUAUCCAUCUCUUUCUUCAUUGCCAAUCCUCCUAUAUUCAGUGGGUAAUCUGAAAAUAUCUGUGUGCAAUGACUUCUGGACAUUUUCAGGAAUUCUAAUGAUUGUGCUGGAUCAUUUAAAUUCAAUAGCCUGUCCUCCACAGCUGCAAAGUCUCUCUGAGUGUUUCAUUCAAACCAUCUAGCAAUGAAGUGAAGAAGCAAUAUGACUGCCAAUGUUCCCUUAGAGCUGCUAAAAAAUAACCAUUAAAAUUUGCUUUUAACGGUAUUACUUACAACACAGUAAUUUACUGAGAUAUGUGUUGUUCGCAGACAUUGCAAACACAGAUUGUUUGCACAAUAUUCAGUAAGGGCAAUCAAAUUAAUGGUUUUGCCAGCACAUGUUAUUGUAAAUGUACUCAAAAGACUGCAAUCAAUUUUCUUCAGAGCACAAAAUACAACCUAUGUCCAGUUGCGCAAUACCGUGUAACAUUUUAUUCUUGCCUACACAGAAAAAUUUCCAAGAGCCCAUGUUGCAUCUCCAGCAUUCUCAUCGUUGUCCUAGUCUAAAAAUAAUAUAUACCUGCCUGUUCUUUAAAGACAAUAUUUUCAUAUAUGGUAGAGCUUUAGUGCAGGAAAGUUGCUAUGGAAAUCUAUGAUUACAUUUUCAGGCUAAAAACCUUCCAGACAGCUCUGUGUCAUAUCAAACUUUGCAUUUCAUGCUGUAGCUGCUUACAAGUGUGUUAAUACAUAUCUGAUGGGCAAGGGGAAUGUUUUGCAGUAAAAUUAUCUAGAUAUUUUCCAGCAGAAGGGAAAGGUACUUUCUGUGGUCAGUGACCGAUGUUUCAACAAACAGAAUACCAUACCAGUGAACAAGAGAAAUGCAACUCUAAUGUAUUCAAAUGCUUUACACUAUAUAUAAAAAGGGAAAGAUCAUUGCAGCUGUAAUGGUUGUGAUAUGAAUUUGUGAGGGCUCACUCUGCAGUAGACUUUACUGAGCAUGAAAAUAGAGCACUAUAGCUUUCUAAGUUGUCUAUCUCCCCACAUUUUGUACAGAAAUGGGAGCUGGAUACUCCUGUACUGAUCAGCCAGUAGAGCUGUUCAAGCAUCACAAAAAGUAAAAUCAAUUCAGCACUAAAACAGGCCAAAACAGUCAGAUAUUAAUCUACAGCCAUUACCAAGCCAACUGGUGAAGUAACUACUUAUCAAGCAUUGAGUGCUUCAGCAAAGAAUCCACCAACACGGUUGUUGAAAAGUCAUAAUUCUGCUG